UAGGGUAAUCUUCCACAAUGGGCGCAAGCCUGAUGGAGCAACGCCGCGUGAGUGAAGAAGGUUUUCGGAUCGUAAAGCUCUGUUGUAAGAGAAGAACGUGUGUGAGAGUGGAAAGUUCACACAGUGACGGUAACUUACCAGAAAGGGACGGCUAACUACGUACCAG
RNAcentral lists this ribosomal RNA (166 nucleotides) under uncultured bacterium. Its description in RNAcentral is "partial 16S rRNA". It matches the Rfam family "Bacterial small subunit ribosomal RNA", at positions 354 to 511 of the family's 1533-position model. The record is from RNAcentral.